GGUUUGCAUGGCUGUCGUCAGCUCGUGUCGUGAGAUGUUCGGUUAAGUCCGCUAACGAGCGCAACCUCGCCGUAUGUUACAAGUGUCAUACGGGACUGCCGGUAAAAGCCGGAGGAAGGUGAGGAUGAUGUCAAGUCAGCAUGACCUUUAUAUCCAGGGCUACACACACGCUACAAUGGUCUGUACAAUUGGUUGCCAAGCCGCGAGGCGGAGCCAAUCCGUAAAGCAGGCCUCAGUUCAGAUUGCAGUCUGCAACUCGACUGCAUGAAGCCGGAGUUGCUAGUAACCGCAGGUCAGCAAUACUGCGGUGAAUACGUUCCCGGGUCUU
This 328-nucleotide ribosomal RNA is filed under the name uncultured Anaerolineaceae bacterium. RNAcentral describes it as "bacterial SSU rRNA". It matches the Rfam family "Bacterial small subunit ribosomal RNA", at positions 1038 to 1382 of the family's 1533-position model. Lineage: Bacteria; Bacillati; Chloroflexota; Anaerolineae; Anaerolineales; Anaerolineaceae. The record is from RNAcentral.